This is a non-coding RNA of Taeniopygia guttata (zebra finch), 1252 nucleotides long. Lineage: Eukaryota; Metazoa; Chordata; Aves; Passeriformes; Estrildidae. The record is from RefSeq and is a predicted model, not a curated record.
GGCGAGGCGCUGCCGACGCGGGACGGGCGGCUGCUGCUGGAGGCGCUGAGCGUGGAGCCGCCCGCGGCCAGGAAUCCCUCAGAGCAUCACUUCACCUAUGUCCCAGAGAUGCAUCCCCCACUGACCCCUGCCUGCACCAUGUGCCUGCAGAACAGCCUGCUGCCUGCAUGGCCAGGACUACAUGUCAGCUUGGGCAGCCAGGCUUGGCUCCAGCAUUGACACAUGGAUUUACAGCUCCAUGUCUGUGCCCUGGGAUGGUGACCCUAUACAAAGGACAACCAGCAUGACUGGCAGAGCCUCUAUUGCAUCCUCCAUCACAGUCAUCAUUCCUUCCUUUGCACAAGCUCACACACAGGGGCCUGCAAGCAAUUGCAGGCAAUGCAUCUCCCUGCCUGAUGUCUGAUUUAUUGACUCGUAACUCCAACAAGCAGGUGGUCCUUUUCCAAUCCCCAUCUCAGUCCCAUCUGAAACAGGGUGCUGGUCUCUGUAGCACUGUGUGCCCUCUCCUCCCUGUCUCCACAUGGCUCCAAGGAGAUGAACGCCUUCUUGCUCCUCUCCAGGAGAGACAGGUGGGCCAACAUCUCAUGUGUGAAUGUAUUCCUUUACUUUCCCUGUUUCUGAGAUAGCAUCAUACUUCAUCACCAGCAGUCAAAUCCUGCAUCAGCACAGGCUUUCUUUUUGACUCUGAGAAGCAACUUCAAGGCACAAAAAUACACCCCUGCAAAAACUUCCAGCAUGUUAUCCUAAUCCUCAGCAAAACAGACCGGAUUUGGGAAUAAAGACCAAGAUGUCACUGACUCAGAGGCCAGGAUAGUGUCAUAGAAGAGUUAGAGUUGGAAGGGACCUCUAAAGGAAACCUAGUCUAACCCCCCUGCAAUGAGAAUGCUCCCACAUCCCCAUAUUGCACAGUCACUGUGACACCAGGAUUCGCCAAUGGUUUUGUUUCUUGUUUCUUCAGCAGCGACCUAUUUAUGAAGCCACAAAACACAGAAAAAAGCACCUCCAAAACAACAAGUCCACCCUGGAAUGCUGUGGGGAAAGUAGAACAUAUCUGUAUGACACAUGGAUACAUUUCUUCUUGAUCCCAGCCGGCAGUUACAUUAUGGAGAUAAAAACACAUCAGACUUCAAUAAUUAUAAGACUGUGAAGAAACUUGGGAAAACAACUCUUUAAAAUACGUUAUAGACAUAGAAAAUGUAUUUCUUGGCUGAAAUGUUUAUCAAUAAAACUUAUAGAUUGGUAUUAACUACAA